This 404-nucleotide ribosomal RNA is filed under the name uncultured prokaryote. Its description in RNAcentral is "partial 16S ribosomal RNA". The record is from RNAcentral.
CCCUACGGGGGCGCGAGGCGAGCAGGCCGCCGCCCAGAAUCUGGGCGGCGAUGCCGCCGAGCAGGACGCUGAGGGCGGCGGCGGCCAGGAUGGCCGGCACGGGCCAGGCGGUCCAGUUGCCCAGCAGCCGGGCGACGCCGACGCCGAGCAGGCCCAGGCACAUCCAGAUGAUGACGCGGGCGGUGAGGCUGUAGUGCUCGCGCUUGCGCAGCCAGCGUUCGCCCAGGGCGAGGAGGCGGGGCUGGCGCUCGGGAUCCAGGCGGCGCAGCCGGCCACCGGUGAGGCCGAUCAGGAGGCUGAGCACGCCCAUGGUCCAGACCGCGCCGGCAAAACCGACGAGGAUGGCGGCAAGGUCCCAGUAGAGGUCGGGGCUCAUGGGCGGCUCCGGGCGUGGGCGGGGGAGC